AUUGGCAUGGGCUAAACCAAACUACUAAGCAACCUUAUUGAAGACUCAAUCUUCCAAAUUGGCCAGAUAAGUGGAGAUUGGUGGGGGUCCCUCCGUUGCUUUUCUUAGACACCAAUAAAUUGAUCAGGUAACCUAACAGAAUUAAUUAAAUAACUAUGUCUCAAUUACUUACCUUAGAAACCAAUAGGUCAAUUAGUCCAA
Molecule: long non-coding RNA, 201 nt
Filed under: Elaeis guineensis (African oil palm)
Lineage: Eukaryota; Viridiplantae; Streptophyta; Magnoliopsida; Arecales; Arecaceae
Description: long non-coding RNA (EGUI_LNC042057)
Source: RNAcentral